UUACAGUCACCUGGAGGUUCCAGCAAAUAUGUGGAACUUUUGUGGGGGUGGGAGGGCAGCAGUUGAGAUUCCUCUCCUGGAGUGAUUACAGGGCACCCUGCAGCACAGGCGAGCCUAGCCUAAGUCCUUUCCGUGGGAUGAGCACCUGAGGAAUCCCACAAGCUCCCAGGCCCAGCUGAUGUCUGACUCACCCCAUGAUUUAUCUGCCGACUCCAGCCUGCCUCUCAUCCCGGUGUCUACAGUUCCUAUGUGGGUUCUACAAUACAUAAUUCAGCAUCUCACUGGAAUCUUAUGUUUUGUUCUUGACACUCAAUUAGCCCAUAAACUCCUAGAUAGAAGGGACCACUUCUUUCAAUUUUGUAUCCCCCUCAGCACCUAGUACCAAAGGGUAUACACCAGUUAGCUGAUAGAUCCCCUUGAUAACCAGAAAUACAGACACACCCUCUGGCCUGGCAACUGCAUUUCUAGAAAUUUACACUACUAAAAUACAUAAAUAUGAAAAAUAGUAUGAUCAAAAAUAUGCAUUGUAGACUGUAACAGUACAAAUUGGAAGUAACAUAAAUGUCUAUUAAGACUAGUGAGGCCAGGCCGGGCGCAGUGGUUCACGCCUCUAUAAUCCCAGCACUUUGGGAGACCGAGGCUGGUGGAUCACCUGAGGUCAGGAGUUCGAGACCAGCCUGGCCAACAUGGUGAAACCCCGUAACUACUAAAACUAGAAAAAUUAGCCAGGCGCAGUGGCAGGCGCCUGUAAUCCCAGCAACUUGGGAGCCUGAGGCAGGAGAAGCCAGGAGGCAGAGGAUGCAGUAAGCUGAGAUUGCACCACUGCACUCCAGCCUAGGGUACAGAGCGAGACUCUGUCUCAGGAAAAAAAAAAAAAGACUAGUGAGGCCAGGCACAGCGGAUCAUGCCCGUAAUCCCAACACUUUGGGAGGCCAAGGCAGGAGGACUGCUUGAGCCCAGGAGUCAGAGGUUACAGUGAGCAAUGAUCACACCACUGCAUUUGAGCCUGGGCUAACAGAGCAAGACCCUGUCUCUAAAAAAAAAGAAAAAAAAAGAAUGACCAGUGAAUUUCAGUCCAUUACUGUCCAUUAAAAAAACAAACAGUUGGGAUAUCUAUACACA
This 1122-nucleotide long non-coding RNA is filed under the name Homo sapiens (human). RNAcentral's name for it is "HSALNT0343933". The record is from RNAcentral. Lineage: Eukaryota; Metazoa; Chordata; Mammalia; Primates; Hominidae.